UACGUAGGGUCCGAGCGUUGUCCGGAAUUACUGGGCGUAAAGAGCUCGUAGGUGGUUUGUCGCGUUGUUCGUGAAAACUCACAGCUUAACUGUGGGCGUGCGGGCGAUACGGGCAGACUGGAGUACUGCAGGGGAGACUGGAAGUUCCUGGUGUAGCGGUGAAAUGCGCAGAUAUCAGGAGGAACACCGGUGGCGAAGGCGGGUCUCUGGGCCGUAACUGACGCUGAGGAGCGAAAGCGUGGGGAGCGAACAGG
This 254-nucleotide ribosomal RNA is filed under the name uncultured bacterium. RNAcentral describes it as "partial 16S ribosomal RNA". It matches the Rfam family "Bacterial small subunit ribosomal RNA", at positions 524 to 776 of the family's 1533-position model. The record is from RNAcentral.